RNAcentral lists this ribosomal RNA (465 nucleotides) under uncultured Klebsiella sp. RNAcentral describes it as "bacterial SSU rRNA". It matches the Rfam family "Bacterial small subunit ribosomal RNA", at positions 338 to 795 of the family's 1533-position model. Lineage: Bacteria; Pseudomonadati; Pseudomonadota; Gammaproteobacteria; Enterobacterales; Enterobacteriaceae. The record is from RNAcentral.
CCUACGGGGGGCUGCAGUGGGGAAUAUUGCACAAUGGGCGCAAGCCUGAUGCAGCCAUGCCGCGUGUGUGAAGAAGGCCUUCGGGUUGUAAAGCACUUUCAGCGGGGAGGAAGGCGGUGAGGUUAAUAACCUCAUCGAUUGACGUUACCCGCAGAAGAAGCACCGGCUAAUUCCGUGCCAGCAGCCGCGGUAAUACGGAGGGUGCAAGCGUUAAUCGGAAUUACUGGGCGUAAAGCGCACGCAGGCGGUCUGUCAAGUCGGAUGUGAAAUCCCCGGGCUCAACCUGGGAACUGCAUUCGAAACUGGCAGGCCAGAGUCUUGUAGAGGGGGGUAGAAUUCCAGGUGUAGCGGUGAAAUGCGUAGAGAUCUGGAGGAAUACCGGUGGCGAAGGCGGCCCCCUGGACAAAGACUGACGCUCAGGUGCGAAAGCGUGGGGAGCAAACAGGAUUAGAUACCCGAGUAGUC